RNAcentral lists this ribosomal RNA (252 nucleotides) under uncultured bacterium. RNAcentral describes it as "partial 16S ribosomal RNA". It matches the Rfam family "Bacterial small subunit ribosomal RNA", at positions 524 to 776 of the family's 1533-position model. The record is from RNAcentral.
UACGGAGGAUGCGAGCGUUAUCCGGAUUUAUUGGGUUUAAAGGGUGCGUAGGCGGAGUGCUAAGUCAGCGGUAAAAAUUCGGGGCUCAACCCCGUCGUGCCGUUGAAACUGGCGCCCUUGAGUGGGCGAGAAGUAUGCGGAAUGCGUGGUGUAGCGGUGAAAUGCAUAGAUAUCACGCAGAACCCCGAUUGCGAAGGCAGCAUACCGGCGCCCGACUGACGCUGAAGCACGAAAGCGUGGGUAUCGAACGGG